AAUUUUUUCUUUCUUUCCUUAAGGUGUCUGUUAUACCUCAUUGGUUUUUUAGGGUUGAGGAGCUGUGAAAAUGGAACCCUAGAAACUUAUGCAAUCAUGUGGCUAGUCAGUGAACGAAGAAAAAACUAAAUAGAUGGCCGGGUUGUUGUCUGUGAAGCUAUAUUUUCUUGUAGCACAUGCUUGUGGUGUGGGCAGAACUUACAGAUUUCAUGUUGUCAAGCAAUAAAAUUGAUGAAUUGGUCUAGUAAUACUUGAUUUCUUUUUGGAAAAUUUUCAUGAACCAGUCUUAUUAUUUUAAGUUAAUGAGCACACUUGACAUCUAUUCUCCUACCAGAAAUUCCGUUCUUGCCUUAUUAACUUGUCAUAUGUUUUAGUUGAAGGAAAUGCUUACCAUGGCACUUUAUUUAGUUGGCAUCGAAAGCAUCUGUUUGACUUGAUGUAUGGAUCGGGUUCUUUGUGGCUCAUCUAGCAAUUUUUUUGCUUUGUUACAUACGGUCUCCCACAGUGUUUUGGUGCGAAAUGGGCAUGACUUCAUUUUGN
This 540-nucleotide long non-coding RNA is filed under the name Phoenix dactylifera (date palm). RNAcentral describes it as "long non-coding RNA (PDAC_LNC002159)". Lineage: Eukaryota; Viridiplantae; Streptophyta; Magnoliopsida; Arecales; Arecaceae. The record is from RNAcentral.